AAUUACUCCAUUUUUCAGUUCUUGAUACAACGUUUGACUCUUCGUCUUAUUUAAAAAUUUUCUAUGAUUAGUAUUUUUAUUGUUAUUAGAUAAUAAAAUAUGAAUAGUAUUUUAUGUGUUACUAAUUUUUUUUAAAAAAAAAUUAUAUAAGACGGACGGUGAAACGUUGGACAUAAAAAACUAAAAAUGAAGUCUCU
Oryza sativa Indica Group (long-grained rice) is the source of this 197-nucleotide microRNA precursor. It matches the Rfam family "MIR812 microRNA precursor family". Lineage: Eukaryota; Viridiplantae; Streptophyta; Magnoliopsida; Poales; Poaceae. The record is from Rfam.